ACAUGCACAUCCGCCAGAGUACUACGAGCACAGCUUAAAACCCAAAGGACUUGGCGGUGUCUCAGACCCACCUAGAGGAGCCUGUUCUAGAACCGAUAACCCCCGUUAAACCUCACCACUUCUUGUUUUUUCCGCCUAUAUACCGCCGUCGUCAGCUUACCCUGUGAAGGAUUAAUAGUAAGCAAAAUGGGUCCACCCCAAAACGUCAGGUCGAGGUGUAGCACACGAAGUGGGAAGAAAUGGGCUACAUUUUCUACAAAUAGAAUAUUACGAACUACAUUCUGAAAUAAAAUGUCCAAAGGUGGAUUUAGUAGUAAAAAGCAAACAGAGUGUCCUUUUGAACUAGGCUCUGAGACGCGCACACACCGCCCGUCACUCUCCCCUACCAACUCUUAAUUAAUUUAUAAUAAAUCAAUCAUAAUACACGGGGAGGCAAGUCGUAACAUGGUAAGUGUACCGGAAGGUGCACUUGGAAUAAU
RNAcentral lists this ribosomal RNA (479 nucleotides) under Hemibagrus wyckii. RNAcentral's name for it is "partial 12S ribosomal RNA". It matches the Rfam family "Bacterial small subunit ribosomal RNA", at positions 860 to 1533 of the family's 1533-position model. The record is from RNAcentral. Lineage: Eukaryota; Metazoa; Chordata; Actinopteri; Siluriformes; Bagridae.